Pseudonaja textilis is the source of this 652-nucleotide non-coding RNA. NCBI's taxonomy places the organism in Eukaryota, Metazoa, Chordata, Lepidosauria, Squamata, Elapidae. The record is from RefSeq and is a predicted model, not a curated record.
CUAUAAGGGGGAUACCACAUGGGAAUGUAUAUGGGUAUUUAAUCUAAAACUUGCUGGGAAGUAUUUUAGGAUUCUUUUUUUCUGAAUACCAUAUAUAUAUAUAUAUAUAUGAAUUGUAUUUGAAUUAUGCUGUUAUAAACUCUUUCUUUGGAGGAUUAAAAAUAGGGGAAUGGAAAUGAAUUAAAAUAUAUAGAUAAACUUUGGCAAAGUGGAAAGGAAGAAAAAAUAUGAUUAUUAAUGAUUAUAAGUAAAGUGAAGAUAAAAUGAAACAUAUUAAGAAGUUAUUUUAGCAAUUUACUGGGGGGAUACUUUAAAAUAUAUACAUUUUAAAAUAUACAAUUGAUUAUUUAAUGGAUAUUAGAAGUGUACAAUGAGAGUAUUUUAUUAUGAUUAAAGUAGGGGAAUGGAAAAUACCAUGUGGAUCCUAAAUAUAUUGACUUUAUUUUACUUUUACUCUUUUUAGAUUGUUUAUUAUACAUUGGCUUAGAGAAAAUUAAGGAUAGUAAUGAUGUGUAAUGUACGUAAAUUAAAAUAGCUGGUAAGCUGAAAAUGGAAAUAAUAGGGGAUAAGGAAUUGAAAACCUAUGUGUGAAUGAAAUGAAAUUGAUAUUGAAUUAAUGAAUUGAAAUAUGAAAUGCAAAUUUAUUUAAAGA